AUGAUUCGUGGGACGUCCUGCCGGUGGUGGCGAGUCGAAGGCGUGCUCCCGUCGUGGUUUCCACUUCGGUUCUUGUGCGCCCGAGGCGGACCCCGAUGAAAUCCUACCGCGGUGCUCUUAACCGAGUGUCGAGGUGGGCCGGCACGUUUACUUUGAACAAAUUAGAGUGCUUAAAGCAGGCCUGUUGCGCCUGAAUACUGUGUGCAUGGAAUAAUGGAAUAGGACCUCGGUUCUAUUUUGUUGGUUUUCGGAACCCGAGGUAAUGAUUAAUAGGGACAGGCGGGGGCAUUCGUAUUGCGACGUUAGAGGUGAAAUUCUUGGAUCGUCGCAAGACGGACCGAAGCGAAAGCAUUUGCCAAGUAUGUUUUCAUUAAUCAAGAACGAAAGUUAGAGGUUCGAAGGCGAUCAGAUACCGCCCUAGUUCUAACCAUAAACGAUGCCAGCUAGCGAUCCGCCGAAGUUCCUCCGAUGACUCGGCGGGCAGCUCCCGGGAAACCAAAGCUUUCGGGUUCCGGGGGAAGUAUGGUUGCAAGCUGAACUUAAAGGAAUUGACGGAAGG
Molecule: ribosomal RNA, 559 nt
Filed under: Polysarcus denticauda
Lineage: Eukaryota; Metazoa; Arthropoda; Insecta; Orthoptera; Tettigoniidae
Description: SSU rRNA
Rfam family: Eukaryotic small subunit ribosomal RNA
Source: RNAcentral